GACGAACGCUGGCGGCGUGCUUAACACAUGCAAGUCGAACGAAGAGCGAUGGAAGCUUGCUUCUAUCAAUCUUAGUGGCGAACGGGUGAGUAACGCGUAAUCAACCUGCCCUUCAGAGGGGGACAACAGUUGGAAACGACUGCUAAUACCGCAUACGAUCUAACCUCGGCAUCGAGGAAAGAUGAAAGGUGGCCUCUAUUUAUAAGCUAUCACUGAAGGAGGGGAUUGCGUCUGAUUAGCUAGUUGGAGGGGUAACGGCCCACCAAGGCGAUGAUCAGUAGCCGGUCUGAGAGGAUGAACAGCCACAUUGGGACUGAGACACGGCCCAGACUCCUACGGGAGGCAGCAGUGGGGAAUCUUCCGCAAUGGACGAAAGUCUGACGGAGCAACGCCGCGUGAGUGAUGACGGCCUUCGGGUUGUAAAGCUCUGUUAAUCGGGACGAAAGGCCUUCUUGCGAAU
Molecule: ribosomal RNA, 460 nt
Filed under: Veillonella parvula
Lineage: Bacteria; Bacillati; Bacillota; Negativicutes; Veillonellales; Veillonellaceae
Description: bacterial SSU rRNA
Rfam family: Bacterial small subunit ribosomal RNA
Source: RNAcentral